UUGAUCCUGCCAGUAGUCAUAUGCUUGUCUCAAAGAUUAAGCCAUGCAUGUCUGAGUACAGACCGAUCUAAGGUGAAACCGCGAAUGGCUCAUUAAAUCAGUCGUAAUUUCUUGGAUAGUGAAAAACUUUCCUCGGAUAACUGUGGAAAAUCCAGAGCUAAUACGUGCAACUGAGCUCCGACCUGGGCGCAAGCCUUGGGAAGAGCGCAUUUAUUAGAUUCAAAACUGACCGGCGUACUCCUUCGGGAUACGUCGUUCGUCAAAUGUUUGAUGACUCCGGAUAACUUAGCCGAGCGCUACGGUCUUUAGUACCGGCGCCGUAUCUUUCAAGUGUCUGCCUUAUCAGCUUUCGAUUGUAGGUUAAACGCCUACAAUGGCUGUAACGGGUAACGGGGAAUCAGGGUUCGAUUCCGGAGAGGGAGCCUGAGAAACGGCUACCACAUCUAAGGAAGGCAGCAGGCACGCAAAUUACCCACUCCCAGCCCGGGGAGGUAGUGACGAAAAAUAACGAUGCGAGACUCUUCCGAGGCCUCGCAAUCGGAAUGAGUCCAUCCUAAAUCUUUGGACGAGGAUCCAUUGGAGGGCAAGUCUGGUGCCAGCAGCCGCGGUAAUUCCAGCUCCAAUAGCGUAUAUUAAAGUUGCUGCGGUUAAAAAGCUCGUAGUUGGACUUUCUAGAUCCAUUUCGUGGGUGGGUCGCUCGUUGUACUGGCGAUUCGCGCCAGUCACUGGUCGACGUCGUGCGGAGUGUCGUACUUCUACUAAGUUGGCUUUACGGCUUUCGAUAGGGGAGACUUCUCUCUCUCGGCAAACUUUCCAGCGGACGGCGUUUCUCGGUCUUCGGGUAUAGCUCGCCCGCGUUUGGUACAAUUAAAAUUUUGUCGGCUCGCUCGGAGUGCUCUUUACCGAGUGUUCCAGGGUGGCCGACACGUUCACUUUGAAAAAAUUAGAGUGCUUAAAGCGGGCUGUAAAAACGGCCGGAAUGUCUGUGCAUGGAAUGAAGUAACAGGACCUCGAUUCUGUUCUUUUUGUCGGUUUUAAUGAACCGAGGUAAUGAUUAAAAGGGACAGACGGUGGCAUUAGUAUUGCGACGCUAGAGGUGAAAUUCUUGGACCGUCGCAAGACUAACUACUGCGAAAGCAUUUGCCGAGAAUGUUUUCAUUAAUCAAGAACGAAAGUUAGAGGAUCGAAGGCGAUCAGAUACCGCCCUAGUUCUAACCCUAAACUAUGCUAACUAGCGAUCCGCCGAAGUCAUUCCCACGACUCGGCGGGAAGCCCCAGGGAAACCAAAGUCUUUGAGUUCCGGGGGAAGUAUGGUUGCAAAGCUGAAACUUAAAGGAAUUGACGGAAGGGCACCACCAGGAGUGGAGCCUGCGGCUUAAUUUGACUCAACACGGGAAACCUCACCAGGCCCGGACAUCAUAAGGAUUGACAGAUUGAGAGCUCUUUCUCGAUUUGA
RNAcentral lists this ribosomal RNA (1456 nucleotides) under Macrostylis sp. ML08. RNAcentral describes it as "SSU rRNA". It matches the Rfam family "Eukaryotic small subunit ribosomal RNA", at positions 8 to 1270 of the family's 1831-position model. The record is from RNAcentral. Lineage: Eukaryota; Metazoa; Arthropoda; Malacostraca; Isopoda; Macrostylidae.